This 582-nucleotide ribosomal RNA is filed under the name uncultured bacterium. Its description in RNAcentral is "bacterial SSU rRNA". It matches the Rfam family "Bacterial small subunit ribosomal RNA", at positions 57 to 629 of the family's 1533-position model. The record is from RNAcentral.
GCAGUCGAACGGUAACAGGGAGAAGCUUGCUUCUUUGCUGACGAGUGGCGGACGGGUGAGUAAUGCUUGGGAAUCUGGCUUAUGGAGGGGGAUAACUACGGGAAGCUGUAGCUAAUACCGCGUAAUAUCUUCGGAUUAAAGGGUGGGACUUUCGGGCCACCUGCCAUAAGAUGAGCCCAAGUGGGAUUAGGUAGUUGGUGGGGUAAAGGCCUACCAAGCCGACGAUCUCUAGCUGGUCUGAGAGGAUGACCAGCCACACUGGAACUGAGACACGGUCCAGACUCCUACGGGAGGCAGCAGUGGGGAAUAUUGCACAAUGGGGGGAACCCUGAUGCAGCCAUGCCGCGUGAAUGAAGAAGGCCUUCGGGUUGUAAAGUUCUUUCGGUGAUGAGGAAGGUGUUUGUUUUAAUAGAGCAAGCAAUUGACGUUAGUCACAGAAGAAGCACCGGCUAACUCCGUGCCAGCAGCCGCGGUAAUACGGAGGGUGCGAGCGUUAAUCGGAAUGACUGGGCGUAAAGGGCACGCAGGCGGUGACUUAAGUGAGAUGUGAAAGCCCCGAGCUUAACUUGGGAAUUGCAUUUC